Molecule: transfer RNA, 66 nt
Filed under: Dipodomys ordii (Ord's kangaroo rat)
Lineage: Eukaryota; Metazoa; Chordata; Mammalia; Rodentia; Heteromyidae
Rfam family: tRNA
About the family: Transfer RNA (tRNA) molecules are approximately 80 nucleotides in length. Their secondary structure includes four short double-helical elements and three loops (D, anti-codon, and T loops).
Source: Rfam by way of RNAcentral
CAGUGUAGCUGAGGGGUAAAGUGCCGGCUUGUAAGCUCGAGUUCCUGGGUUCAACACCCAGCACUG